ACGUAGGGGGCGAGCGUUAUUCGGAAUUACUGGGUGUAAAGGGUAUGUAGGCGGCCCUUCAAGUCGCGUGUCAAAGUCCAGUGCUCAACGCUGGGAGUGCGCGUGAUACUGUCGGGCUUGAGUGCUGGAGAGGUGAGCGGAAUUCCCGGUGUAGUGGUGAAAUGCGUAGAGAUCGGGAGGAACACCAGCGGCGCAGGCGGCUCACUAGACAGUUUCUGACGCUAAGGUGCGAAAGCGUGGGGAGCAAACAG
Molecule: ribosomal RNA, 251 nt
Filed under: uncultured prokaryote
Description: partial 16S rRNA
Rfam family: Bacterial small subunit ribosomal RNA
Source: RNAcentral